CUUGGUCAUUUAKWGGAAGUAAANGUCGUAACAAGGUUUCCGUAGGUGAACCUGCGGAAGGAUCAUUACUGAGAGGUUAAAAAACCACUAGUUGGGGGAUCUCUUCCCCUCUAGUAGUUCCUCACAGUUUUGUGCAAAGUCGGGUCAACCUGGUUGGCUCUGCCUUGUGCCUUGGAUCUCUGGUUGUUGGCAUAGAGACCCUCCUUUUAGGAGACUUGUGCCACUACUAAGAUCUAGGCUGCUUGAAACGAGACGUAUGGACCCUUCUUUCAGGAGACCUAUGUCUCAAGUCAAAAGCAAGCAAGGCAAGCCUUUGGGGCUCUAGUACUAACUAUCCCCAAGGGUGUUUAUUCUUCUCGUGUAAACCAUGAUGUACGAAAAAAGUUAGUUGUUAACUUAAAAACAACUCUUGGCAAUGGAUCUCUUGGUUCUCGCAUCGAUGAAGAGCGUAGCAAAGUGCGAUAAUUAUUGCGACUUGCAUUCAUAGCGAAUCAUCGAGUUCUCGAACGCAUCUUGCGCCUAGUAGUCAAUCUACUAGGCACAGUUGUUUCAGUAUCUGCAACUACCAAUCAGUUCAACUUGGUUCUUUGAAUCUAAGCGAACUGGAAAUGGGCUUGUGUUGAUGGCAUUCAGUUGCUGUCAUGGCCUUAAAUACAUUUAGUCCUAGGCAAUUGGCUUUAGUCAUUUUGCCGGAUGUAGACUCUAGAGUGCCUGAGGAGCAACGACUUGGUUAGUGAGUUCAUAAUUCCAAGUCAAUCAGUCUUCUCUUGAACUAGGUCUUAAUCUUUACGGACUAGUGAGAGGAUCUAACUUGGGUCUUCUCUUCAACAAACUCACAUCUAGAUCUGAAAUCAACUGAGAUCACCCGCUGAACUUAAGCAUAUCAAUAAGCGGAGGA
This 898-nucleotide ribosomal RNA is filed under the name Lichtheimia ramosa. RNAcentral's name for it is "eukaryotic LSU rRNA". The stretch from base 405 to 558 matches the Rfam family "5.8S ribosomal RNA". Lineage: Eukaryota; Fungi; Mucoromycota; Mucoromycetes; Mucorales; Lichtheimiaceae. The record is from RNAcentral.